GACGAACCGUGCAAACGUUGUUCGGAAUCACUGGGCUUAAAGGGCGCGUAGGCGGGCUCCCAAGUCGGUGGUGAAAUCUUUCGGCCCAACCGGAAAAGUGCCGCCGAUACUGGGAGUCUCGAGGGAGGUAGGGGUCGAUGGAACUUCCGGUGGAGCGGUGAAAUGCGUAGAUAUCGGAAGGAACGCCGGUGGCGAAAGCGAUCGACUGGACCUCUUCUGACGCUGAGGCGCGAAAGCCAGGGGAGCAAACGGG
This 253-nucleotide ribosomal RNA is filed under the name uncultured bacterium. Its description in RNAcentral is "partial 16S ribosomal RNA". It matches the Rfam family "Bacterial small subunit ribosomal RNA", at positions 524 to 776 of the family's 1533-position model. The record is from RNAcentral.